This 443-nucleotide ribosomal RNA is filed under the name uncultured soil bacterium. Its description in RNAcentral is "bacterial SSU rRNA". It matches the Rfam family "Bacterial small subunit ribosomal RNA", at positions 26 to 518 of the family's 1533-position model. The record is from RNAcentral.
AGAACGAACGCUGGCGGCAGGCCUAACACAUGCAAGUCGAACGCUCCGCAAGGAGAGUGGCAGACGGGUGAGUAACGCGUGGGAAUUUCCCCCAAGGUUCGGAAUAACUGAGGGAAACUUCAGCUAAUACCGAAUGGUACCGAGAGGUUAAAGAUUUAUCGCCUUGGGAUGAGCCCGCGUUGGAUUAGCUAGUUGGUGAGGUAACGGCUCACCAAGGCUUUGAUCCAUAGCUGGUCUGAGAGGACGACCAGCCACACUGGGACUGAGACACGGCCCAGACUCCUACGGGAGGCAGCAGUGGGGAAUCUUGGACAAUGGGCGCAAGCCUGAUCCAGCCAUGCCGCGUGGGCGAUGGAGGUCUUCGGAUUGUAAAGCCCUUUUGGCGGGACGAUAAUGACGGUACCCGCAGAAUAAGCUCCGGCUAACUUCGUGCCAGCAGCCGC